This 370-nucleotide ribosomal RNA is filed under the name uncultured eukaryote. Its description in RNAcentral is "partial 18S ribosomal RNA". It matches the Rfam family "Eukaryotic small subunit ribosomal RNA", at positions 592 to 976 of the family's 1831-position model. The record is from RNAcentral.
UAAUAGCGUAUAUUAAAGUUGUUGCAGUUAAAAAGCUCGUAGUUGGACCUUGGACCUGGACAGGCGGUCCGCCUCACGGCGUGUACUGUCUUGCUGGGUCUUUCCUCUUGGUGAUCUGUUGUUUCGGCAGCAGGGAACCAGGACUUUUACUUUGAAAAAAUUAGAGUGUUCAAAGCAGGCUCGACGCCGGAAUAUAUUAGCAUGGAAUAAUAAAAUAGGACGUGCGGUUCUAUUUUGUUGGUUUUUGGAAUCGCCGUAAUGAUUAAUAGGGACAGUCGGGGGCAUUAGUACUCACAUGCUAGAGGUGAAAUUCUUGGAUUUUGUGAAGACUAACUUCUGCGAAAGCAUUUGCCAAGGAUGUUUUCAUUAA